This is a long non-coding RNA of Vitis vinifera (wine grape), 623 nucleotides long. RefSeq lists it as uncharacterized. The record is from RefSeq and is a predicted model, not a curated record. The transcript has 5 exons. Lineage: Eukaryota; Viridiplantae; Streptophyta; Magnoliopsida; Vitales; Vitaceae.
AUGUCAUACUGGGAUGUAUGCUAUUCUCUAUAUGCAACAUUGGGAUGGAAGUGGUCUUAAUAGAACCAUUAAUUCUGAACGCAUGAGCCUUGAAAGAUUGAAAUUUGCAACUCAUAUGGUUCUUGAUAGCGAAAACGAAAUUGGUGAAAUGGUUACAGCCAAUAUUUGGUCAACCAACGAUGCAGAAUAGUAUUGGGAGGUCACUGAUAAGCUAAUUGAGGAGAAUGAAUUUGAUGCAGAUCAAAAGGAUGCAUUUAAGGUGAUCUGUAAUUGAUGAUAUGCAUGUAAUUGAUUGCUCUUGCAUGUAAUUAACCAUACCAUGAACUUAAAUUGUUUUGGUUGCUCAUAAUUUUGUCAAAGACAAUGUCCGAGAGGCAAAAAAAGCCAAUAGACAGGCUAGAGAAGCCUAGAAAAAGGCCUUGCAGAAAUGAGUUAAUAGACUAAAGCAGCAUUUGAAAACAUGAAGUUUAACAAGUUCUACUCAGUCCAGACCGAUGAUAAUCCUGGCAUAUCAAAUGUUAAGGCACCGUUUAUAAACAGGUAUUAUGGGAAAGCUCAUGAAGUUCUGUGAUUGGGCUCAUCAACCACCAGUAUUUCUAUUGCAAAAGAUGCCAAUUGGGUUG